Molecule: long non-coding RNA, 10135 nt
Filed under: Zea mays
Lineage: Eukaryota; Viridiplantae; Streptophyta; Magnoliopsida; Poales; Poaceae
Description: long non-coding RNA (ZMAY_LNC002030)
Source: RNAcentral
CUGAGCUAAGUACAGGUCUUGCCCAUCUGUUGUAAUUACUGAAAAUUUCUGUUUCAGAAACACCACAACAUGUAGACAACUUCAGAGAGGGACAUACAGAGAGAGCAAACAAAAACAUGUUGCUGCUGCUGGCUAACAGAUGCAAAGCAAGGAUGUCUCAUUAUUUCUCCUACAAUUAAAAAAUUAAUUGGGCAUAAGCUUUACUGUUUCUAGGACAAUGUAAUGGUGAAGUGAUUAGGCUGCAAUCAAACUCUAGUGCCGCACUGGCACUCUCUACAAACAUGUAUGAAGACAGUACACUGCUACAACUCAAAAUUAGGCAUAAGAGAAGGGAUUUAGAACUGAUUCAGCAUAGAAACUUGGAACUCAAAUAAAUGAAUGGAUCAGAAUUAUUGAGGAGUUGCAGCUUUUCUAAGCGUAUGAUACAGUCAUGGAUCAUAAAGUUAUGAAGCAUACAGUACAAGUAGUGACCUAUUUUCCUGCUUAAAUGGAUUGCAAGUAUCUAACCAUAGAAACUUAAUUGUAACAACAAAAUGCUAAACAUACAACAUGAAUUGUGGCCGUGAAUCUUUUCCUCAGAUUUUCAAUCAAAAAUAGAAAUGGAAUCAAAACCAGCGAGUAUAAGUGCAGCAACUAAAUCCAGUAAACCACCGGGAACUUUGAAAGGGAAAUGUGCCCUUGGGCCAUUUCUAAGUAUUUUGGUGAUUUAGUGUCCAACACAAGUGCCUAAGUGUAAAAUGGUGGACAAAGUAAAAAUCAAGUAUAAAGGUAUGUUUCUCAGACUUAGUACAUUGUUUUAGAGACUAAUGUAUUGUGUCUAAGUGCUGGAAACAGGAAAAAUCAAGUUGAAAUUAAAGAUGGCUUUGUUCAGCCAAAGUCAGCUCUGUCUGGGUGCACCGGACUGUCCGGUGGUGCACCGGACAGUGUCCGAUGCGCCAGGCUGGCUCAGGCGAACUUGCUGCUCUCGGGAAGUGAUUAACGGCGUACGGCUAUAAUUCACCGGACUGUCCGGUGUGCACCGGACUGUCCGGUGAGCCAACAGUCGGCCGGGCCCACGGUCGGUCGCGCGAUCCGCGCGAGACACGUGGCCGAGCCAACGGUCGGGAGGGGGCACCGGACUGUCCGGUGUGCACCGGACAGUGUCCGGUGCGCCAACGGCUCCCAAGUGCCAACGGUCGGCUUCGCCAGAUAAGGAAGGAGAUCCGCACCGGACAGUGUCCGGUGGUGCACCGGACUGUCCGGUGCGCCAAGCGACAGAAGGCAAGAAUUGUCUUCCUGGAAUGCACUCAACGGCUCCUAGCUGCCUUGGGGCUAUAAAAGGGACCCCUAGGCGCAUGGAGGAGCACACCAAGCAUUCUCUAAGCAUUCCUAAGCACCAAGACUUCGACUCCGCACAUUUGAUUCUUUGUGAUAGCAAUUAGAGCUCUAUUUGAGUUGUGAACUCGUCGAGUUGUGUUGUGAGCUUUUAUUGCAACUUGUGUGCGUGUUGUCGCUCUGAUUUCGUGUCUUGUGUGCGUUGCUCAUCCUUCCUUACUCUGUGCUUCUUUGUGAACAUCAAGUGUAAGGGCGAGAGGCUCCAAGUUGUGGAGAUUCCUCGCAAGUGGGAUAUAGUAAAGUCAAAGCAAAACACCGUGGUAUUCAAGUGGGUCUUUGGACCGCUUGAAAGGGGUUGAUUGCAACCCUCGUCCGUUGGGACGCCACAACGUGGAGUAGGCAAGUGUUGAACUUGGCCGAACCACGGGAUAAAUCACUGUGUCUAUCUGUGAUUGAUCUUCUUCUGGUUAUCGUGUCUUGCAAAGACUCUUCUCUAGCCACUUGGCAUUCUUGUGCUAACUCCUAAUCAAGUUUUGUGGCAUUAAGUUUCAAGUUUUACAGGAUCACCUAUUCACCCCCCCUCUAGGUGCUCUCAAUUGGUAUCAGAGCCGUUCUCUUCAAGAAAGGGACUAAUCGCCCGAAGAGAUGGAUCCUAAGGGCAAGGGGAUUGUGAUCAAUGAUAAGGAGAAGGAGUCCUUUGUCAACGAGCCUAAAGAUAACAAGCCUACCGACUCGGGCUCGGGCAACAAACGAAAAGAUGGGAAGAAGAAGAAGACGAGGUGUAUCAAGGAGAUCGUCUACUACGACGACAGCGACGAGUCCUCUUCUUCCCAAAAGGACGACGACAACGACUACGAGAAAAAGAAGACGGUUAACUCAAACUUCUCUUUCGAUUAUUCUCGUAUUCCUCAUAGCUCAAAUGCACAUUUGCUUUCCAUUCCUCUUGGCAAACCUCCUCACUUUGAUGGAGAGGACUACGGAUUUUGGAGUCACAAAAUGCGUAGUCACUUGUUCUCUCUCCAUCCAAGCAUAUGGGAGAUAGUCGAGAAUGGAAUGAAAUUUGAUAGCUCGGAUAGUCCUUUGUUUAUCAAUGAAUAGAUUCAUAAAAAUGCACAAGCUACUACUGUGUUGUUAGCCUCAUUGUGCAGGGACAAGUACCAUAAGGUGAGCGGCUUGGACAAUGCCAAGCAGAUCUGGGACACCCUCAAGAUCUCACAUGAGGGAAACGACGUCACCAUGCUCACCAAGAUGGAGUUGGUGGAAGACGAACUCGGGAGAUUCGCGAUGAUAAGAGGGGAGGAGCCAACCCAGACUUACAACAGGCUCAAGACCCUCGUCAACAAGAUAAGGAGCUAUGGAAGCACGCGAUGGACGGACCACGACGUCGUCCGCCUAAUGCUAAGGUCAUUUACCAUCCUUGAUCCACAUCUUGUGAACAAUAUUCGUGAGAAUCCUAGGUACACGAAGAUGACGCCCGAGGAGAUCCUUGGAAAGUUCGUAAGCGGGCGGAUGAUGAUCAAGGAGGCUAGAUACGUCGAUGAUGCAUUAAAUGGCCCAAUCCAAGAGCCUCAAACUAUUGCUCUCAAGGCAACAAGAAGCAAGGAGGCACUACCUAGCAAGGUGGCGCAAGUUGAUGAUGAAGAGAUGGCCCUCAUCAUCAAGCGGUUCAAGACGGCGCUAAAGGGUCGCAAGGAGCACCCCAACAAGAACAAGACGAAGGGGAAGCGCUCCUGCUUCAAAUGUGGUAAGAUUGGUCAUUUUAUCGCUAAUUGUCCCGAUAAUGAUAGUGACCAGGAAAAGAAGAGUGGAAAGUGGGAAAAGAAGAAGAACUACAAGAAGGCGAAGGGCGAGGCACAUCUUGGAAAGGAGUGGGAUUCAGAUUGCUCCUCGUCCGACUCUGACAACGAAGGACUCGCCGCUACCGCCUUCAACAAGUCAUCCCUCUUCCCCAACGAGCAUCACACAUGCCUCAUGGCAAAGGAGAAGAAGGUAUGUACUCGAAACAAUACUACUUAUGCUUCUUCAAGCGAGGAUGAGUCUAGUGAUGAUGAUGAAAUAGACUAUUCAUGCUUAUUCAAGGGCCUAGAUAGAACCAAGGUUGAUAAAAUUAAUGAAUUAAUUGAUGCCUUGAAUGAUAAGAAUAGGUUAUUAGAAAAGCAAGAGGAUCUUUUGUAUGAAGAGCAUGAUAAAUUUGUUAGUGCACAAAAUUCUCUUGCUCUAGAAGUUAAAAGGAAUGAAAUGUUGUCUUGUGAACUAUCUACUUGUCAUGAAACCAUUUCUACUUUAAAAGGUGUUAAUGAUGAUUUGAAUGCUAAACUAGAAGUAGCAAAUAAAUCGAACUCUUGUGUAGAACAUGUUAUAAUUUGCAAUAGGUGCAAAGAUUUUAAUGUUGAUGCUUGUAGUGAACACCUAGUUUGCAUCUCUAAAUUAAAUGAUGAAGUGGCUAGUCUUAAUGCCCAACUUAAGACUAGCAAGAGUGAAUUUGACAAGCUAAAAUUUGCUAGGGAUGCUUACACGAUUGGUAGACACCCCUCAAUUAAGGAUGGUCUUGGCUUCAAGAGGGAAGUCAAGAACUUAACAAGCCAUAAGGCUCUCAUCUCCACCAAGGAGAAAGGGAAGGCCCCUAUGGCUAGUAGUGCUCAAAAGAACCAUGCUUUCAUGUAUCAUGAUAGGAGACAUUCGAGAAAUGUUUAUAGAAAUUAUGAUGCUUUUGGUUCUCAUGCUAUGGUUGCUUCUAGUUCAUCUAUUAUGCAUGAUAGAAAUUUAGCUAGGAGAAAUGCUAUUAAUCACACGCCUAGAAGAAAUGUUGUUCAUGUGCCUAGGAAAACAAAUAGUGAACCUUCUACAAUUUAUCAUGCUUUAAUUGCUUCUUUUGCUAUUUGUAGAAAGGAUAAGAAGGUGAUUGCUAGAAAAUUAGGGGCAAAAUGCAAGGGAGAUAAAACUUGCAUUUGGGUCCCUAAGGCAAUUUGUACUAACCUUGUAGGACCCAACAAGAGUUGGGUACCUAAGACCCAAGACUAAAUUGCCUUGCAGGUUUAUGCAUCCGGGGGCUCUAGCUGGAUUAUCGACAGCGGAUGCACAAACCACAUGACGGGGGAAAAGAGGAUGUUCUCUUCCUACGUCAAGAACAAGGAUCCCCAAGAUUCAAUCAUAUUCGGUGACGGGAAUCAAGGCAAGGUUAAAGGCUUAGGCAAGAUUGCAAUCUCAAAUGAGCACUCUAUUUCUAAUGUAUUCUUAGUUGAGUCGCUUGGAUAUAAUUUGUUAUCCGUAAGUCAAUUAUGUAAUAUGUGAUAUAAUUGUCUAUUCACUAAUGUAGAUGUGUCUGUCUUUAGAAGAAGUGAUGGUUCAUUAGCUUUUAAGAGUGUAUUAGACGGCAAACUCUAUUUAGUUGAUUUUGCAAAAGAGGAGGUCGGUCUAGAUGCAUGCUUAAUUGCUAAGACUAGCAUGGGCUGGCUGUGGCAUCGCCGCUUAGCACAUGUGGGGAUGAAGAACCUUCACAAGCUUCUAAAGGGAGAAUACGUGAUAGGUCUAACUAAUGUUACUUUCGAAAAAGAUAGACCUUGUGCAGCUUGUCAAGCAGGGAAAUAGGUGGGAAGCUCUCAUCAUGCCAAAAAUGUGAUGACAACAUCAAGACCCUUGGAGUUACUUCAUAUGGACCUCUUCGGACCCGUCGCCUAUCUGAGCAUUGGAGGAAGUAAGUAUGGUCUUGUUAUAGUUGAUGAUUUUUCCCGCUUCACUUGGGUAUUCUUUUUGCAGGAUAAAUCUGAAACCCAAGGGACCCUCAAGCGCUUCCUAAGGAGAGCUCAAAACGAGUUUGAGCUCAAGGUGAAGAAGAUAAGAAGUGACAAUGGGUCCGAAUUCAAGAACCUUCAAGUGGAGGAGUAUCUUGAGGAAGAAGGAAUCAAGCACGAGUUCUCCGCUCCCUACACACCACAACAAAAUGAUGUGGUAGAGAGGAAGAACAAGACGCUUAUAGACAUGGCGAGGACGAUGCUUGGAGAGUUCAAAACCCCCGAGCGCUUUUGGUCGGAAGCCGUGAACACGGCUUGCCACGCCAUCAACUGGGUCUACCUUCAUCGCCUCCUCAAGAAGACUUCGUAUGAGCUACUAACCGGUAACAAACCCAAUGUUUCGUAUUUUCGAGUUUUUGGGAGUAAAUGCUACAUUCUAGUGAAAAAGGGUAGAAAUUCCAAAUUUGCUCCCAAAGCCGUAGAAGGGUUUUUGUUAGGUUAUGACUCAAAUACAAAGGCGUAUAGGGUCUUCAACAAAUCAUCGGGGUUGGUUGAAGUCUCUAGCGACGUUGUAUUUGAUGAGACUAAUGGCUCUCCAAGAGAGCAAGUUGUUGAUCUUGAUGAUGUAGAUGAAGAAGACGUUCCAACGGCCGCAAUGCGCACCAUGGCGAUUGGAGAUGUGAGGCCAAUGGAACAAAAGGAGCAAGAUCAACCUUCUUCCUCAACAAUGGUGCAUCCCCCAACUCAAGAAGAUGAACAGGUUCAUCAAGAGGAGGCAUGUGAUCAAGGGGGAGCACAAGAUGAUCAAGUAAUGGAGGAAGAAGCACAACCGACACCUCCAACUCAAGUCCGAGCGAUGAUUCAAAGGAAUCAUCCCGUCGACCAAAUUUUGGGUGACAUUAGCAAGGGAGUAACUACUCGAUCUCGAUUAGUUAAUUUUUGUGAGCAUUACUCCUUUGUCUCUUCUAAUGAGCCUUUCAGGGUAGAGGAGGCCUUGCUAGAUCCGGACUGGGUGUUGGCCAUGCAAGAGGAGCUCAAUGACUUCAAGAGAAAUGAAGUUUGGACACUGGUGCCUCGUCCCAAGCAAAAUGUUGUGGGAACCAAGUGGGUGUUUCGCAACAAACAAGACGAGCACGGGGUGGUGACAAGGAACAAGGCUAGACUUGUGGCAAAAGGUUAUGCCCAAGUCGCAGGUUUGGACUUUGAGGAGACUUUUGCUCCUGUGGCUAGGAUAGAGUCCAUUCGUAUUUUGCUAGCAUAUGCCGCUCACCAUUCUUUCAGGUUGUUCCAAAUGGAUGUGAAGAGCGCUUUCCUCAAUAGGCCAAUCAAGGAGGAGGUGUGCAUAGAGCAACCCCCUGGCUUCGAGGAUGAACGGUACCCCGACCACGUGUGUAAGCUCUCUAAGGCGCUCUAUGGACUUAAGCAAGCCCCAAGAGCAUGGUAUGAAUGCCUUAGAGACUUUUUAAUUGCUAAUGCUUUCAAGGUUGGGAUAGCCGAUCCAACUCUUUUUACUAAGACUUGUGAUGGUGAUCUGUUUGUGUGCCAAAUUUAUGUCGAUGACAUAAUAUUUGGUUCUACUAACCAAAAGUCUUGUGAAGAGUUUAGCAGGGUGAUGACUCAAAAGUUCGAGAUGUCGAUGAUGGGCGAGUUAAGCUACUUCCUUGGGUUCCAAGUGAAGCAACUCAAGGAUGGGACCUUCAUCUCCCAAACAAAGUACACACAAGACUUGAUCAAGAGGUUUGGGAUGAAGGACGCCAAGCCCGCAAAGACUCCAAUGGGAACCGACGAACACACCGACCUCAACAAAGGAGGUAAGUCCGUUGAUCAAAAGGCAUACCGGUCUAUGAUAGGGUCUUUACUUUAUUUAUGUGCUAGUUGACCGGAUAUUAUGCUUAGCGUAUGCAUGUGUGCUAGAUUUCAAUCCGAUCCAAGGGAGUGUCACUUAGUGGCGGUGAAGCGAAUUCUUAGAUAUUUAGUCGCUACACCUUGCUUCGGGAUCUGGUAUCCAAAGGGGUCUACCUUUGACUUGAUUGGAUACUCAGACUCCGAUUAUGCUGGAUGUAAGGUCGAUAGGAAGAGUACAUCGGGGACGUGCCAAUUCUUAGGAAGGUCCCUGGUGUCAUGGAGCUCUAAGAAACAAACCUCUGUUGCCCUAUCCACCGCUGAGGCCGAGUACGGUACCGUAGGACAGUGUUGCGCGCAACUACUUUGGAUGAGGCAAACCCUCAGGGACUUUGGCUACAAUUUGAGCAAAGUCCCACUCCUAUGUGAUAAUGAGAGUGCUAUCCGCAUGGCGGAUAAUCCUGUUGAACACAGCCGCACAAAGCACAUAGACAUCCGGCAUCACUUUUUGAGAGACCACCAGCAAAAGGGGGAUAUCGAAGUGUUUCAUGUUAGCACCGAGAACCAGCUAGCCAAUAUUCUUACCAAGCCUCUAGAUGAGAAGAUCUUUUGCAAGUUGCGUAGUGAGCUAAAUGUCUUAGAUUCGCGGAACUUGGAUUGAUUUAUAGCAUACAUGUGGUUUAUGCCUUGAUCAUGUUCCUUAAUACUUCUUGUUGUUUAUUUAUGGUGCUCAAGUUGUACAAGCACUCCCCGGACCUCACAAGUCCAUUUGCAAGUGAUGCACAUAUUUAGGGGGAGAUGUGCUACAACUUGACCCUUUGAGACUAACUGUGUGCUUGAGUUUGCUUAAUUUAGUCUCAAAGGAGGUUUGAAAGGGAAAGGCGGACUUGGACCAUGCAAGACUUCCACUGCACUCUGAUGAAAGAGUAACUUAUUCCGAGUUCAUCUUUGUACUCUUAUUGCCUUUUUACUCUUAGUUGAAGAUUUUGGUGAGGCAAUGGGGUUAAAGGGCCAAGAUUGAUCCCGUUUUGGUGCUUGAUGCCAAAGGGGGAGAAAAUAAGGCCAAAGCAAGAAAUGGAUCGGCUACCACUUGAGAAUUUUGAAACUAGUAGAGUUAGAGUUUUUGUUUGUCAAAAUACUCUUGUUGAAACUAGUAGAGUUAGAGUUUUUGUUUGUCAAAAUACUCUUGUUGAAACUAGUAGAGUUAAAGUUUUUGUUUGUCAAAAUACUCUUGUUUGUCUCUUAUUAUCCAAAGUUGGUCUCUUGUGGGGAGAAGGCUUAAUUAUGGGAAAAAGGGGGAGUUUUUGAACUCUUUGAUAAAUUUCUCUUGAAAUAUCUCUCUUUAUGUUUCAACAAGUGUGUUUGACUUAGAGAUAGGAAAUUGAGUUUGAUUUGCAAAAACAAACCAAGUGGUGGCAAAGAAUGAUCCAUAUAUGUCAAAUUUGAAUCAAAACAAUUUUGAGUUCCUAUUUGAAUUGAUUUUGCACUUGUUCUACUUGCUUUAUGUUGUGUUGGCAUAAAUCACCCAAAAGGGAGAGAUUGAAAGGGAAAUGUGCCCUUGGGCCAUUUCUAAGUAUUUUGGUGAUUUAGUGUCCAACACAAGUGCCUAAGUGUAAAAUGGUGGACAAAGUACAAAUCAAGUAUAAAGGUAUGUUUCUCAGACUUAGUACAUUGUUUUAUAGACUAAUGUAUUGUGUCUAAGUGCUGGAAACAGGAAAAAUCAAGUUGAAAUUAAAGAUGGCUUUGUUCAGCCAAAGUCAGCUCUAUCUGGGUGCACCGGACUGUCCGGUGGUGCACCGGACAGUGUCCGGUGCGCCAGGCUGGCUCAGGCGAACUUGCUGCUCUUGGGAAGUGAUUAACGGCGUACGGCUAUAAUUCACCGGACUGUCCGGUGUGCACCGGACUGUCCGGUGAGCCAACAGUCGGCCGGGCCAAUGGUCGGCCGCGCGAUCCGCGCGAGACACGUGGCCGAGCCAACGGCCGGGAGGGGGCACCGGACUGUCCGGUGCGCCAGGCGACAGAAGGCAAGAAUUGCCUUCCUGGAAUGCACUCAACGGCUCCUAGCUGCCUUGGGGCUAUAAAAGGGACCCCUAGGCGCAUGGAGGAGCACACCAAACAUUCUCUAAGCAUUCCUAAGCACCAAGACUUCGACUCCGUGCAUUUGAUUCUUUGUGAUAGCAAUUAGAGCUCUAUUUGAGUUGUGAACUCGUCGAGUUGUGUUGUGAGCUCUUAUUGCGACUUGUGUGCGUGUUGUCGCUCUGAUUUCGUGUCUUGUGUGCGUUGCUCAUCCUUCCUUACUCCGUGCUUCUUUGUGAACAUCAAGUGUAAGGGCGAGAGGCUCCAAGUUGUGGAGAUUCCUCGCAAGUGGGAUAUAGUAAAGUGAAAGCAAAACACCGUGGUAUUCAAGUGUGUCUUUGGACCGCUUGAAAGGGGUUGAUUGCAACCCUCGUCCGUUGGGACGCCACAACGUGGAGUAGGCAAGUGUUGAACUUGGCCAAACCAUGGGAUAAAUCACUGUGUCUAUCUGUGAUUGAUCUUCUUGUGGUUAUCGUGUCUUGCAAAGACUCUUCUCUAGCCACUUGGCAUUCUUGUGCUAACUCCUAAUCAAGUUUUGUGGCAUUAAGUUUCAAGUUUUACAGGAUCACCUAUUCACCCCCCCUCUAGGUGCUCUCAAACUUUUCAUCCACUAAUGCAUUUCCACAUAGUUGGUAUUUUGUUUUCCAGACAGGUUUAGCCACUAAUCAUUUCCCAAGUUACUGAAAGUAUUUCACAUAGAACCACACAAUAGCGGUGGCAUGCCUGAGUCAAUAUAUGCAGUAAAUUCAUGCGUAGCAUACUAAACUACUAUGCAAUUUUGUGUGCAUGAUUAGUCAGGAAAUUAUAUAACUUGAGUAUUACCUGAAGUUGUUAACAAGUAGAUGAAGUCUGAACUGAAUUGGACCAAGAUCCACACACUUGCCUCACGAAUUAGACCAUGUUGACAUGUAGACAGAGUCAUUGACAUGCUGCGAUCCGGUCUAGCAAAUUUAUUAAAAGAAGUGGUCCUCACAGUGUCUUAUGACAAACCAUCCAAAAAUUAGUGCUAAUGUGUAGUGCCAAUACCUGGUGGGUGCGCGAUGCCGGCAGAAGUCCCGAAGGCCUGAACACCAACCAUAAGGUGGAGGCGGCAGAGGACACGACAGAGGAGGUGGUGGCUCUAGGUACAGAAACCCUAACCCGCUCUCGUCGCCAGGGAACGGGCGGAGCAG